RNAcentral lists this ribosomal RNA (445 nucleotides) under uncultured bacterium. RNAcentral describes it as "partial 16S ribosomal RNA". It matches the Rfam family "Bacterial small subunit ribosomal RNA", at positions 354 to 796 of the family's 1533-position model. The record is from RNAcentral.
GUGAGGAAUAUUGGUCAAUGGGCGAGAGCCUGAACCAGCCAAGUCGCGUGAAGGAAGACGGCCCUACGGGUUGUAAACUUCUUUUGCAAUGGAAUAAAAAGAGUUACGUGUAAUUCAUUGUAUGUACAUUGCGAAUAAGGAUCGGCUAACUCCGUGCCAGCAGCCGCGGUAAUACGGAGGAUCCGAGCGUUAUCCGGAUUUAUUGGGUUUAAAGGGUGCGUAGGCGGAUUGGAAAGUCAGCGGUGAAAGUUUGCAGCUUAACUGUAAAAUUGCCAUUGAAACUGUCAGUCUUGAGUGCACAUGAGGUAGGCGGAAUGUGUUGUGUAGCGGUGAAAUGCAUAGAUAUAACACAGAACACCAAUUGCGAAGGCAGCUUACUGGGAUGCAACUGACGCUGAGGCACGAAAGCGUGGGGAUCAAACAGGAUUAGAAACCCGUGUAGUCC